UACGUAGGCAGCGAGCGUUGUUCGGAGUUACUGGGCGUAAAGGGCGUGUAGGCGGUUUGUUAAGUUUGGCGUGAAAGCUCUCGGCUAAACCGGGAGAGGUCGUUGGAUACUGGCAAACUAGAGGACGGUAGAGGCGUGUGGAAUUCCGGGUGUAGUGGUGAAAUGCGUAGAGAUCCGGAGGAACACCUGCGGCGAAGGCGGGUUGCUGGGCUGACACUGACGCUGAGGCGCGAAAGCUAGGGGAGCGAACGGG
Molecule: ribosomal RNA, 253 nt
Filed under: uncultured bacterium
Lineage: Bacteria
Description: partial 16S ribosomal RNA
Rfam family: Bacterial small subunit ribosomal RNA
Source: RNAcentral